This 618-nucleotide ribosomal RNA is filed under the name Salmonella enterica. Its description in RNAcentral is "partial 23S ribosomal RNA". It matches the Rfam family "Bacterial large subunit ribosomal RNA", at positions 593 to 1212 of the family's 2925-position model. The record is from RNAcentral. Lineage: Bacteria; Pseudomonadati; Pseudomonadota; Gammaproteobacteria; Enterobacterales; Enterobacteriaceae. RNAcentral also lists the same sequence under 1 other name.
GUGACUGCGUACCUUUUGUAUAAUGGGUCAGCGACUUAUAUUCUGUAGCAAGGUUAACCGAAUAGGGGAGCCGGAGGGAAACCGAGUCUUAACCGGGCGUUAAGUUGCAGGGUAUAGACCCGAAACCCGGUGAUCUAGCCAUGGGCAGGUUGAAGGUUGGGUAACACUAACUGGAGGACCGAACCGACUAAUGUUGAAAAAUUAGCGGAUGACCUGUGGCUGGGGGUGAAAGGCCAAUCAAACCGGGAGAUAGCUGGUUCUCCCCGAAAGCUAUUUAGGUAGCGCCUCGUGAAUUCAUCUCCGGGGGUAGAGCACUGUUUCGGCUAGGGGGCCAUCCCGGCUUACCAACCCGAUGCAAACUGCGAAUACCGGAGAAUGUUAUCACGGGAGACACACGGCGGGUGCUAACGUCCGUCGUGAAGAGGGAAACAACCCAGACCGCCAGCUAAGGUCCCAAAGUCAUGGUUAAGUGGGAAACGAUGUGGGAAGGCCCAGACAGCCAGGAUGUUGGCUUAGAAGCAGCCAUCAUUUAAAGAAAGCGUAAUAGCUCACUGGUCGAGUCGGCCUGCGCGGAAGAUGUAACGGGGCUAAACCAUGCACCGAAGCUGCGGCAGCGAC